RNAcentral lists this ribosomal RNA (497 nucleotides) under uncultured bacterium. Its description in RNAcentral is "partial 16S ribosomal RNA". It matches the Rfam family "Bacterial small subunit ribosomal RNA", at positions 28 to 507 of the family's 1533-position model. The record is from RNAcentral.
GAUGAACGCUGGCGGCGUGCCUAAUACAUGCAAGUCGAGCGAACAGACGAGGAGCUUGCUCCUCUGACGUUAGCGGCGGACGGGUGAGUAACACGUGGAUAACCUACCUAUAAGACUGGGAUAACUUCGGGAAACCGGAGCUAAUACCGGAUAAUAUAUUGAACCGCAUGGUUCAAUAGUGAAAGACGGUUUUGCUGUCACUUAUAGAUGGAUCCGCGCCGCAUUAGCUAGUUGGUAAGGUAACGGCUUACCAAGGCAACGAGUCGUAGCCGACCUGAGAGGGUGAUCGGCCACACUGGAACUGAGACACGGUCCAGACUCCUACGGGAGGCAGCAGUAGGGAAUCUUCCGCAAUGGGCGAAAGCCUGACGGAGCAACGCCGCGUGAGUGAUGAAGGUCUUCGGAUCGUAAAACUCUGUUAUUAGGGAAGAACAAAUGUGUAAGUAACUAUGCACGUCUUGACGGUACCUAAUCAGAAAGCCACGGCUAACUACGUG